Molecule: long non-coding RNA, 589 nt
Organism: Esox lucius (northern pike)
Lineage: Eukaryota; Metazoa; Chordata; Actinopteri; Esociformes; Esocidae
Source: Ensembl
GUGUAAUCACUUGAUCCCUGGCCUUACUCACCAGCCAGGCUGUGAUGGUCUGCAGGGUCAAGAAGACGACAGGACACCCAAUCGCUCACAGAAGCCCCAAAACAAAUGAGAAAUGACACGUUUCUGAAGAAUUUGUGCUUUCUUUUCCUUCUUUUUUUACAUACAUUACAAGGAAACAAACAAGGGGACGAGAGGAAGACAUUAAAAAGUUAGUGCUGGCCAUUAUGAAAAAGACCAGAGGCUGUGCAGAUAUACUUUCAGGCAUCUUACGGUUUAUUCAACGGGAAAGUGGUGAAAGAUAAAGUGGUUUUGUUGUAAGAGCAGAAAGUGCGUCUUGAGCCCACGGCGCCACAAUACCUGUGUUCUCCCAGAAGCAUCAGCUUUGGACUACUGGACCAGCCUAGGAGAAACACGAGUCCCUACCAGGCACAGAUCUCAUAUGAACCGGAAUCCCAACGAUGAAAUGCAGUGUCAAAGGUGCCAUUGAGGUACCGCGUUUGGUUGCCGAUGCCGACCGGAAGUCAGUACAUAGUAAAUGUGUUAAUGCAGGUGUCCGAGUGCCGGGGGCAGACAGACCCACCCACCCCCC